This 492-nucleotide ribosomal RNA is filed under the name uncultured bacterium. Its description in RNAcentral is "partial 16S ribosomal RNA". It matches the Rfam family "Bacterial small subunit ribosomal RNA", at positions 29 to 507 of the family's 1533-position model. The record is from RNAcentral.
AGUGAACGCUGGCGGUAGGCCUAACACAUGCAAGUCGAACGGCAGCACAGUAAGAGCUUGCUCUUACGGGUGGCGAGUGGCGGACGGGUGAGGAAUACAUCGGAAUCUACUUUUUCGUGGGGGCUAACGUAGGGAAACUUACGCUAAUACCGCAUACGACCUACGGGUGAAAGCAGGGGAUCUUCGGACCUUGCGCGAUUGAAUGAGCCGAUGUCGGAUUAGCUAGUUGGCGGGGUAAAGGCCCACCAAGGCGACGAUCCGUAGCUGGUCUGAGAGGAUGAUCCGCCACACUGGAACUGAGACACGGUACAGACUCCUACGGGAGGCAGCAGUGGGGAAUAUUGGGCAAGGGGCGCAAGCCUGAUCCAGCCAUACCGCGUGAGUGAAGAAGGCCUUCGGGUUGUAAAGCCCUUUUGUUGUGAAAGAAAAGCAGCAGGUUAAUCCCCCGCUGUUCUGACGGUACCCAAAGAAUAAGCACCGGCUAACUUCGUG